UCAUAAAGAUCAUCAGCAGAUGGACGAACUUCCCAGUUACCAGAAUUGAUAACCUUUGAAGACGGUGGGGAUUCACGAAUAUGUUUGGACUUUCUUAAACGAUAAGAUAACGGUGAUAAACUAAUGGAUCUGUCAUCACCUCUACAGUAUUCAGGAGUUUUAGGCGAAGAUAGUUCAUUUGCUUUCAAAUCCGUAGCAGCCUCUGUGUUAAUGGAAAGUUUGGAUUGAAUGUUGUGAUGAUUUUCUUUAGGUACUUGGG
Non-coding RNA from Schizosaccharomyces pombe (fission yeast), 259 nucleotides. NCBI's taxonomy places the organism in Eukaryota, Fungi, Ascomycota, Schizosaccharomycetes, Schizosaccharomycetales, Schizosaccharomycetaceae. The record is from the annotation of a GenBank genome assembly.